UUCCCACUGAAAAUCACCGGCGUCCUAAAGAAUAUUUCAAAAGUCGGACAUGCUUCGCGCCGCUGUUGUAAGCGGGAAAUCGGUAUGAAUAGUAUAAUUUAUUUAAUAUACGAGAGCCACGGUAAAACAUUGAAAUCGAAAAGCAAUUCUGAGUGUAACUCGGUAAACUGCCGAUAAGAUAUAGCUCUGUUAUUUUCCAUUGCGAUAGUAGAUUAUAACCGGCAGAAAUC
Cinara cedri is the source of this 230-nucleotide non-coding RNA. The record is from the annotation of a GenBank genome assembly. NCBI's taxonomy places the organism in Eukaryota, Metazoa, Arthropoda, Insecta, Hemiptera, Aphididae.